GAAUUCGCCCUUAGAGUUUGCUUCUGGCUCAGGACGAACGCUGGCGGCGUGCUUAACACAUGCAAGUCGAGCGGAGACAGAAGACUUCGGUUUUCUGUUUUAGCGGCGGACGGGUGAGUAACGCGUGAGCAAUCUGUCCCAGACAGGGGGAUAACACUUGGAAACAGGUGCUAAUACCGCAUAAGACCACGAUGCCACAUGGCGUUGAGGUAAAAGGAGCAAUCCGGUUUGGGGUGAGCUCGCGUCCGAUUAGCUAGUUGGUGAGGUAACGGCCCACCAAGGCGACGAUCGGUAGCCGACCUGAGAGGGUGAUCGGCCACAUUGGAACUGAGAAACGGUCCAAACUCCUACGGGAGGCAGCAGUGGGGAAUAUUGGGCAAUGGGCGAAAGCCUGACCCAGCAACGCCGCGUGAGGGAAGAAGGUUUUCGGAUUGUAAACCUCUGUCCUAAGUGACGAAGGAAGUGACGGUAGCUUAGGAGGAAGCCCCGGCUAACUACGUGCCAGCAGCCGCGGUAAUACGUAGGGGGCAAGCGUUGUCCGGAAUGACUGGGUGUAAAGGGAGUGUAGGCGGGAUUUUAAGUCAGAAGUGAAAAUUACGGGCUCAACUCGUAACCUGCUUUUGAAACUGAAAUUCUUGAGUGAAGUAGAGGCAAGCGGAAUUCCUAGUGUAGCGGUGAAAUGCGUAGAUAUUAGGAGGAACACCAGUGGCGAAGGCGGCUUGCUGGGCUUUUACUGACGCUGAGGCUCGAAAGCGUGGGGAGCAAACAGGAUUAGAUACCCUGGUAGUCCACGCCGUAAACGAUGA
Molecule: ribosomal RNA, 806 nt
Filed under: uncultured bacterium
Lineage: Bacteria
Description: bacterial SSU rRNA
Rfam family: Bacterial small subunit ribosomal RNA
Source: RNAcentral